Molecule: ribosomal RNA, 775 nt
Filed under: uncultured Neocallimastigales
Lineage: Eukaryota; Fungi; Neocallimastigomycota; Neocallimastigomycetes; Neocallimastigales
Description: partial large subunit ribosomal RNA
Rfam family: Eukaryotic large subunit ribosomal RNA
Source: RNAcentral
UACUAGAGUAGCACUCGCAUAUCAAUAAGCGGAGGAAAAGAAGCUAACAAGGAUUCCCCUAGUAACGGCGAGUGAAGCGGGAAGAGCUCAAAUUUGAAAUCUUAAAGGGUUUUCCCUUUACGAAUUGUAGUUUAAAGAAGUGUUUUCUGUUGAGGUUUUGGUAAAAGUUCUUUGGAAUAGGACAUCAUAGAGGGUGAGAAUCCCGUAUUUGACCUUUACUUUCAACUUUGUGAUACACUUUCAAAGAGUCGGAUUGUUUGGGAAUGCAGUCCAAAAUGGGUGGUAAAUUUCAUCUAAAGCUAAAUAUUGGCGAGAGACCGAUAGCGAACAAGUACCGUGAGGAAAGAUGAAAAGAACUUUGAAAAGAGAGUUAAACAGUACGUGAAAUUGUCAAAAGGGAAGCGUUUGACACCAGUGUUGUUUUUCUGAAAAUCAAUUAAAGAACUGUUUAUGCUAAGUUGUUUAGACUUUAUCAGCUAACUGUUUAGUUUUGAGCUUUUCUUUAAUGCACUUUUCAGUUAACAAGUCAACAUCAAUUUCUUUUGCUGUAAAAAAAGCUUGAGGAAGGUGGCUUGAGAUUCGUCUUAAGUGUUUAUAGCCUCUUGCCUAUGCAGUCGGAGAGAUUGAGGUCUGCAGCGUAGAUCCUUCGGGGCUAAAUGCAUUUGUGCUAAGUUAUAGCAUUUUAUAGACAACUUGUUGACUAUGAUUUGUCUUGUAGCUUACUCGCUUAUGUUCUUUUACCUACGCUUAGGAUGUUGAUAUCGCGCUCUCACUG